AGCGAACGCUGGCGGCAGGCCUAACACAUGCAAGUCGAACGAACUCUUCGGAGUUAGUGGCGGACGGGUGAGUAACACGUGGGAACGUGCCUUUAGGUUCGGAAUAACUCAGGGAAACUUGUGCUAAUACCGCAUGUGCCCUUCGGGGGAAAGAUGUAUCGCCUUUAGAGCGGCCCGCGUCUGAUUAGCUAGUUGGUGAGGUAAAGGCUCACCAAGGCGACGAUCAGUAGCUGGUCUGAGAGGAUGAUCAGCCACAUUGGGAAUGAGACACGGCCCAAACUCCUACGGGAGGCAGCAGUGGGGAAUCUUGCGCAAUGGGCGAAAGCCUGACGCAGCCAUGCCGCGUGAAUGAUGAAGGUCUUAGGAUUGUAAAAUUCUUUCACCGGGGACGAUAAUGACGGUACCCGGAGAAGAAGCCCCGGCUAACUUCGUG
Molecule: ribosomal RNA, 433 nt
Filed under: uncultured bacterium
Lineage: Bacteria
Description: partial 16S ribosomal RNA
Rfam family: Bacterial small subunit ribosomal RNA
Source: RNAcentral